CUGGUGUACUGCUUUUGUCUUAUUAUUAGGGUGAUCUUAUUAAUAAUGACAGAAAGAAGUUUCUGUGCUCAUCUGUGGAAUCUGAUUAUCUGUCAGCUCUCUCCCCUGCACUGUUAUACAGAAGCUCUUCUACCUUUUGUCUUUCAUUUCCAUUUGCCCAUUCCAUGGCUCCCGAAGAAAUGGCCUUGGAUCACUGUAAAAAUACCAGAGACUCUAGAGUAAAAUAACUCAGUCUAGAAUAGGCUGAAACGUAUUGUUUGUAUCAGUCGUCUAGGCAGUGGAAAUAUUUACAAAGCAAAUUAUGCCUGUAGACAGUGUUCAUCCAUUUGUAGUGCUGUUCCAUGCAAUAAAGAAAAUGGUUUUCUUAAAUGCCUCCUGCACCCAGGGCUCUCUAGGUUGCAAGUAGAAAGAAACAGUGCAACUCAAAAGCCUGGGAGUUUCAUAAAGUUUGGUUUAUGAACCUAAAAAGCAAAGAGGCACAGUGCUUGGGCCGACAAAUACUGAUCUGGCUUAGCAGGGCCACUGAAUGGCCUCGUUUCUUUUCUCCAUCUGCUUAGCUUUCCAUGGUGUUAGCCUUAUUCUGAGAGUCUCCCCUUGUGAUCCUAAAAGUGGCUUCUGGGGGCCAUAGUACCAUAGGUACCACGGUUCUCAGCAUCUGCAGGUGAAGCUCUGUCAAGCGUUCCCGCCGGGUCUGCUCAGGUCCUGUGCCCAGGACAGAGAGCAGGGGGGUCAAGGGAAUGGGCUGUGCCAGCUGCCGUAACCCGGAUCAUGGAUAUCACCGCUGGAGCUAGAUGGAAUCUCCACGGGAUAAUGGGGACUCCCAGUCAACGGAGGCCUUCCUGCUCAUUCUGGAUGGUUGGUCAGGAUUCCUGUUUGUGAACUCUUCGUUCCGUUAGUAACCCAUCUUAAACUCACAAAUGAGUCUCUGUUAAAACAGUACAUGGCACUUGGUUUUCAUAUUGCUCUGUCCUCCGCAUCCAGAUUCUCAGUCUUCCUUCCCAAGUCGCAGCGCUUCCAGGCCUCCUGUCUCCUGUGCCUCUCGAAGAGCCUCCCGGUCACAGGCACUCCCUGCCACAGGGGUUUGGCCAGGGCUCCUCACUUGUGUUGUGACCGAAGGGUACCAAAGUACUGGUGGAUUGAAGCAAUGGGUCCAUAGUCCUGUCCCUGCCCAGACUCCCCUGAGGCUAGUUUCCUUCCUGCUACAGAGAGGAUGGCCAAUUCGGUCAUCUUUGCUGUCCUCAUUGAAAUAACACCUGGAGCUAAGAGCCGGUGAGCACUAAGCACCUGGUAGGCACUGUUCUGAGCUUUGUGUGUGCUGUGACUGGCUCUUCCCCUAACACCCUGUGACUUCUGUGGUCUCCAGGGAACUCAGCUAGCAAGGAGCACAGCUGGGGUUUGAACUCAAGAAUUCUGGUUCCACCGUACUAUACCACUUCCUAGUGAUUGGAUCUUAGUUAAUUUUUAGUUUUGAGGGACUGUCUUAUCCGAAAUUGAGAGCUUAUAUUGAUUUUGAUGGGUACUUGAGGGAAGAGAGAGGUGGUUAAUCAUUUCAAAUAUACUGUUGCCACAUGUUAGUGGUGAAAAACCACUGCGUGUGGCCGUGUCCUCCUGACCAAAAAACCCCGGAAUAGUAGGAAGCUGUCACUCCCACCAGAGGCAGCCGUUUGGGACUUACUUUUAAUUACUCACUGAGCCUGCUUCAACAAACCCAACUGUGCAUGAAAUUAGCGGGUUUUGGGGGAGGCAGGGAGAGGAUAUGUUGAGUCCAGUUGACUUUUCCAAGUUAUUAAUAGAACAUAAAAUAGAAGAAUCCAAACUUCCCGAACAGAUAAAGCAGAGGAUAAUUAGCGAGAGUGGAAAAUGAUUCUUUUACUGAACAGUUCGUCAUACAUUUCCUAAUCCUGGGCGUCCUCAGAGUAUUUACAAGAGGGAUUUGAUGUAGAUAAGCUUCAUCUGGAUGAGGUUGAAGACAGAAAUGGAGUUUACAAGCAGGAGUCUGCAGUCAUAAUUAUUUGAAACUGAAUACGAGAAGAUAGAGGCAUGGGGUUGUCAGGGAGAGGUCUCUGUGCUGUUGAUGACUCAUCUUCACCUGGGUCAGACUAAAAACAGCCUUCACCUCCAGUGUUCAUACUCUGCAUCCACCCCCGUGAUCCCACCGGAGGUGGGAGCCCAGCCCUGCCAGGAGGGAAGAUGAGCAUGUAAUUUGGAGACGAGAAGAAGUGGGGUAUGUGUUCUCGGGGUGAGCCAGUCUUAAAACUCAGUUCUGCUACCACAGAACACAGCAAGCUUUUGGAAACCCCGAGUUCCAGCAGAACAUGGAGGAAAGUUAGAGCCACAGCACGUUAAUACAUCUGUAUCAUGAUCCACAACUAAUGGAGGAAACUGGGUAGAAACUUGACCCAGAAGUGUCUGAUGCACAUGCUGUCAGGGGCAGAAGGGUCUGGAAAGGGAGCAGAGAAGAUGAAGUGGCCAGGCCUGAACAGGUGGUGGGGUUUGGGUCGACAGAGCUGAGAAGAAAGGCCAGGGGGAGGGCUAGAGCCAAGACACAGCCAUACCAGGGAUAGUCAGGGAAUUCGAAGAGGAGAUGGAGGGACAGGAAUGAGACUGGCCAGGUCUGUGGGCCAAAGGAAGCAGUGUAGAUGCACAAGACCAAUUAACUGCUGUCCCUGUGGAAGUGUCUGGAGCAGCGAGUGAUCUGGUAAGAUCCCUGGAAAGGGGUAUUUUAUCUUACAAAGCAGUCCGUCCACUUACCUCCUGGUAGAGCGAGGGGGGAUGAGUAGUACAAGCU
This 2788-nucleotide long non-coding RNA is filed under the name Mustela putorius furo (domestic ferret). Its description in RNAcentral is "lncRNA (ENSMPUG00000024417.1)". Lineage: Eukaryota; Metazoa; Chordata; Mammalia; Carnivora; Mustelidae. The record is from RNAcentral.